This 30-nucleotide non-coding RNA is filed under the name Mus musculus (house mouse). Lineage: Eukaryota; Metazoa; Chordata; Mammalia; Rodentia; Muridae. The record is from RNAcentral.
UGGUUUAUGACCUUGCUGAGCUUCCACGGC